CUGUGAUGAAGCCUUUGUUGGUAGGGACAUCUGAAGAGUGUUGAAGAAUGCCAACGGCUCUGAAGGCGGCCGGCGCCGAGUCGCCAGAGUAGGCCUUUGUUCCAGYAAUGGCGCUGGAGCGGCUCGAUCUGAGGGAAGGACAGAAGAGCCCACGUGGUUCUUUUAGGUGGCUGGGUUCCGCAGUGCACCAUUUUUGGUGCAUAACAGCGUAUUUCUUGCUUGCAUAUUCAUGUGUAUUCACGAUUUUAUCAGUGGUUCUUUAGUUGCAUUGUUAUUUUGCAACAUGAAGUGCAUCAUUUACUUAAGCCUAUGGUGGUAUGAACUAUCGGUCUUAGAUAGUAACAAAAGUGGUGAAACAUUAGCUUAAAUGGAACGAAUGAAUGUAAGGUCUAACGUAUUAGAAAUGGUAUGGGGUAGGUAUGUAAUGUGGGUUAUUUUGUGUAGACACUGGAAAUUCAACCCAGGAGCUACAUCUCCAAACGUUUUUCCGUUUAGAGACGCAGGGUGUCCCCUAAAACUAUCUACUUGCUUCAGCAUUCCGAAGUAGCUGCAGUGUGGCUCUGGAUGGCAUCUUGCGUGCAGAUAGAUGCCAAAGGAAUGAAUASUAAGGUGAAAAAGAGCCUCUCCAGCAAUGGACACAAGGCACUAAAUAGAAAASCAGAAAUAGAAAUGGUGGAGGAUGAUUUCUUUGGAUCUGCCUUAUUUUUCUAUUCCUGGAAACACAUUUUGAUCUGGAUAGCAUGAUUGGUUGUUGAUGGACCUUUAUUAUGUGAUGCUGAGAAUCGA
This is a non-coding RNA of Urocitellus parryii (Arctic ground squirrel), 786 nucleotides long. Lineage: Eukaryota; Metazoa; Chordata; Mammalia; Rodentia; Sciuridae. The record is from RefSeq and is a predicted model, not a curated record.